RNAcentral lists this ribosomal RNA (492 nucleotides) under uncultured bacterium. RNAcentral describes it as "partial 16S ribosomal RNA". It matches the Rfam family "Bacterial small subunit ribosomal RNA", at positions 29 to 507 of the family's 1533-position model. The record is from RNAcentral.
AGUGAACGCUGGCGGUAGGCCUAACACAUGCAAGUCGAACGGCAGCACAGUAAGAGCUUGCUCUUACGGGUGGCGAGUGGCGGACGGGUGAGGAAUACAUCGGAAUCUACUUUUUCGUGGGGGAUAACGUAGGGAAAGUUACGCUAAUACCGCAUAUGAUCUACGGGUGAAAGCAGGGGAUCGUCGGACCUUGCGCGAUUGAAUGAGCCGAUGUCGGAUUAGCUAGUUGGGGGGGUAAAGGCCCACCAAGGCGACGAUCCGUAGCUGGUCUGAGAGGAUGAUCAGCCACACUGGAACUGAGACACGGUCCAGACUCCUACGGGAGGCAGCAGUGGGGAAUAUUGGACAAUGGGCGCAAGCCUGAUCCAGCCAUACCGCGUGGGUGAAGAAGGCCUUCGGGUUGUAAAGCCCUUUUGUUGGGAAAGAAAAGCAGCAGGUUAAUACCCCGCUGUUCUGACGGUACCCAAAGAAUAAGCACCGGCUAACUUCGUG